CUCCCACUGCGUUCCGCUGCCACACGAACACCGAGGCAAGUGCUGCGAUCCAUAGGACUGUGAAAAGGGUUUUGUGCGAAGACAAAAAUGCUUGCAUCCACCGCCUGAAUUCCAGCUUCUGGUACUGGAACCGCCCUAGUGGCGCCGUCUCUACCAUCAUUAAUUAGAGACUGAAGUCGACAACUUUUUGCCUUCUUUGAGUGAUUAGCUAGUAUUUUGAUUCAGCGAGAGAAGAUAUGGGAAAUGGAAAUUUGAGAUGUUGGAC
This 265-nucleotide unclassified non-coding RNA is filed under the name Hevea brasiliensis (rubber tree). Lineage: Eukaryota; Viridiplantae; Streptophyta; Magnoliopsida; Malpighiales; Euphorbiaceae. The record is from RNAcentral.